This 500-nucleotide ribosomal RNA is filed under the name uncultured bacterium. RNAcentral's name for it is "bacterial SSU rRNA". It matches the Rfam family "Bacterial small subunit ribosomal RNA", at positions 28 to 520 of the family's 1533-position model. The record is from RNAcentral.
GAUGAACGCUAGCGGCAGGCUUAAUACAUGCAAGUCGAGGGGCAGCGCGGGUAGCAAUACCUGGCGGCGACCGGCAAACGGGUGCGGAACACGUACGCAACCUUCCCAUAACUGGUGAAUAGCCUUUCGAAAGAGAGAUUAAUACACCGUAACAUAACGAAGAGGCAUCUCUUUGUUAUUAUAGGCUUCGGCCGGUUUUGGAUGGGCGUGCGCCUGAUUAGGUAGUUGGCGGGGUAACGGCCCACCAAGCCUGCGAUCAGUAACUGGUGUGAGAGCACGACCAGUCACACGGGCACUGAGACACGGGCCCGACUCCUACGGGAGGCAGCAGUAAGGAAUAUUGGUCAAUGGAGGCAACUCUGAACCAGCCAUGCCGCGUGCAGGAUGACGGCCCUAUGGGUUGUAAACUGCUUUUAUACAAGAGAAAACCCUAGGUACGUGUACCAGGUUGAUAGUAUUGUAAGAAUAAGCAUCGGCUAACUUCGUGCCAGCAGCCGCGG